Long non-coding RNA from Triticum dicoccoides, 1497 nucleotides. RefSeq lists it as uncharacterized. The record is from RefSeq and is a predicted model, not a curated record. Lineage: Eukaryota; Viridiplantae; Streptophyta; Magnoliopsida; Poales; Poaceae. The transcript is spliced from 6 exons.
UAUCUCUCAGCUCAGUCAAUCCCCACCAGCAACCUUAUCCAUCCGCCUGCACCAUCUCUUCCAUUAUCCGACUGAUGAAGAUCUCGCCGCUUGCCAUCACCGAACUAAUUCCCAAACCAUCGCGGCUGCACUUGUUGAUUCAUUUCUUCCAACUUCUCUUCGUCUGGCGCAGUUUGUGGUUGCGCGGAGUGCGCAGGCGCAUUCUCAAGGAUCUGGAUCCUCGACGACCUCGUGGAGUCCGGCGGAGCGUUCUCAAGGGUUUCGGCCAAGGUGAUGACAUGGCCGACGGCUAGAGAACCAUGGCAGAGGUGUUGUAGUUUGGUCCAAUGGAGGAGGCUGUUACGGAACUCACCGAGUCAUCCGCUGAUGGUGAAUUAUUGGAUCUGACUACAGUGAGAUGCUGGCCUCCUCAUUGUUCUUGCUGGCCUCCUCAUUGUUCUUCCUGUCAAACUACUAUUAAAUGUUUGUUGUGCAGUGCUUGCGGUCAUCGUGCUCCUCGCCGGAUUGGUUGCGCUGGUAGUUGUUGUUGCUGCCGUCGCUCGCGUCGGUGUACUGGUCGCGCUGGUAGUUAUUGUUGUUGCUACUGCCGUCGUGCGGCUCACCGGACCGCGGCUGGUGGUGGUUCUGCACUGCGUUUGACGUCGGCGGGCGCUGCAGGUUCUUGACACGCAGUUAUUCUGGUGGGAGCCGUGGCUAUGUGAUUCUGGCCGGCGUGCAUGCAUAGUCGGAGGACGCCGAGUCUUUCUUGAUGCCGGCGACAUCAGCUCAUGUCAGCAUGAGGCACCUUUGUCCUUUUGUUCAAGCAUAUUCGUCUCAGUGCAUUCAUCCUCUGAGCUAUCUGAUAUUGCAACAGAUCUAAGUCUCCUUUUAUUGCCACUUCGGAGCACACGUGAUGAUGAUGAUACUUUGUCUUGACGCUUAUCUUUGUUUCAUGUAGUCCCAUUGCUAUCAUUUGGCUCCUCUUUCACAGGCACCCGUUCGCAUGAAAGUUCGCCAGGUCUUUAACUCAUAUCACAAAGAUUGAUGCCAUUAUUUAUUGGAAUUCUGAGGCAUUACCUGGCCUGGCUGGUUUUCGUGCCUCAUUGUAACCAGAAGUGGUUUUGGGUCACUUCUUCCGACGUUGAUUGGAGCAGUUGGGCGUAACUUCGUCGGGCGUCGAGUGUGCUUUGGCGUGACUUCGUCGGAAGUCGAUUGAAGCGGUUGGAGGUGGCUUUUGGUGUGGAUGUCGAGUCGCAUGUGGCUUGUUCAAGUCGUGGUUGCUGACUUCUAAUUGUUUGGUGGGUGCUUAUCCGGCCGGCUGUACUUAUAUAAUGGGUUGCGUUGAGGUGGCCGAGACCGUGUGGAGAUCAGAUUGUGAAGUUGUCUGUAUUUGUUUCUAUUUUGGAACUUUCCUCACGUGGUCUGGUGGUUGUCCUUAUUUGUUUAAGUUCCUUAUUUGUUUAGGUUUGACUAUUAUUUUUUCUUAUCCUUGACCUAUUGAUGGAAAAAUAAUUUUUA